CGCCGCUCGGCUGGCCCCGGCCCCGCCGCUGCUGGCGGUGCCGGCGGAUGAGUCGGCGUGGCGGUUGGCCGCCGGUGGCGGCGG
Molecule: transfer RNA, 84 nt
Filed under: Mycobacterium marinum
Lineage: Bacteria; Bacillati; Actinomycetota; Actinomycetes; Mycobacteriales; Mycobacteriaceae
Also listed under: 1 other name
Description: tRNA-Ser
Source: RNAcentral